CCUACGGGUGACAGCAGUGGGGAAUAUUGGUCAAUGGGCGCAAGCCUGACCCAGCCACGCCGCGUGAAGGAAGACGGCUUUCGGGUUGUUAACUUCUUUUCUCAGGGACGAAGAAAGUUACGGUACCUGAGGAUUAAGCCACGGCUAACUACGUGCCAGCAGCCGCGGUAAUUCGUAGGGAGCAAGCGUUAUGCGGAUUUAUUCGGUGUAAAGGGCGUGUAGGGGGGAGCGAAAAUUAGCUGUGAAAACUCAGGGCCCAAACCUUAGCCUGCAUUUGAAACUGUGUUUCUUGAGUGCUGGAGAGGUAAACGGAAUUCGGGGUGUAGCGGUGAAAUGCGUAGAUAUACGGAGGAACACCAGUGGCGAAGGCGGAUUGCUGGAGAGUAACUGACGCUGAGGCGCGAAAGCGUGGGGAGCAAACAGGAUUAGAUACCCGAGUAGUC
This 443-nucleotide ribosomal RNA is filed under the name uncultured bacterium. RNAcentral's name for it is "partial 16S ribosomal RNA". It matches the Rfam family "Bacterial small subunit ribosomal RNA", at positions 338 to 795 of the family's 1533-position model. The record is from RNAcentral.